Molecule: ribosomal RNA, 488 nt
Filed under: uncultured bacterium
Lineage: Bacteria
Description: bacterial SSU rRNA
Rfam family: Bacterial small subunit ribosomal RNA
Source: RNAcentral
GAUGAACGCUAGCGACAGGCUUAACACAUGCAAGUCGAGGGGCAACAUGAUUUUAGCUUGCUAAAAUUGAUGGCGACCGGCGCACGGGUGAGUAACGCGUAUGUAACUUGCCUACCAGAGGGGGAGAGCCCGGCGAAAGUCGGAUUAAUACCGCAUAAAACAGGGGUUCCGCAUGGAAAUAUUUGUUAAAGGAUUACCGCUGGUAGAUAGGCAUGCGUUCCAUUAGAUAGUUGGUGAGGUAACGGCUCACCAAGUCGACGAUGGAUAGGGGUUCUGAGAGGAAGGUCCCCCACAUUGGUACUGAGACACGGACCAAACUCCUACGGGAGGCAGCAGUGAGGAAUAUUGGUCAAUGGGCGAGAGCCUGAACCAGCCAAGUCGCGUGAAGGAUGAAGGAUCUAUGGUUUGUAAACUUCUUUUAUACGGGAAUAAACCUCCACGUGUGGGAGCUUGUAUGUACCGUAUGAAUAGCAUCGGCUAACUCCGUG